RNAcentral lists this long non-coding RNA (351 nucleotides) under Homo sapiens (human). RNAcentral's name for it is "non-protein coding lnc-NEDD9-4:2". Lineage: Eukaryota; Metazoa; Chordata; Mammalia; Primates; Hominidae. The record is from RNAcentral.
GGGAGACCUGGAUCCCUCGCCCUGGCCCGGCUGGGUGCGCGCGGUGCGGGCGGCGUGGGCGGUGCGGGCAUUUCGGGGGCCCGCGCUGCAGGGGCAGCCCUGACCCAAGGUGGGGCUGCUGAACUCGGUGAGGUGGAUACUGUGACAGUUCAGAUUUUUGCCUUAAAAUGUAAUGCUUUUUGAUAAAGAUGCUUAUGUAUAACUUUUUUAAAAAGGUGUCACUAUCUCAGCAUUUAGAUAUAUUAAUUUGCGGGGUUUUUUUUCUGAGCCUGAAUCGAAUGACCUGGAUAGGUCACUUACUUGCAGAAUGCAUGUUAAAACCCCUAAAACACAAACAGACCUGCGUUAUCA